This is a small nuclear RNA of Sarcophilus harrisii (Tasmanian devil), 105 nucleotides long. Lineage: Eukaryota; Metazoa; Chordata; Mammalia; Dasyuromorphia; Dasyuridae. The record is from Ensembl.
GUUCACUUCGGCAGCACAUAAACUAAAAUUGGACCGAUACAGAGAAGAUUAGCAUGGCUCCUAUGAAAGUAUGACAUAAAAAUUCAUGAAGGUUCCAUAUUUUUU